GGGAUGGGGUGACUAGUGACAGAGUGAGGAAGGGGGUGACUAGGGACAGAGGGGGUGACUAGUGACAGAGUGAGGGGGUGACUAGUGACAGUCACCCCUUCCCUCUCUCUGUCACUAGUCACUCCCUCCCUCUGUCACUAGUCACUCCCUCCCUCUGUCACCAGUCACUCCCUCCCUCUGUCACCAGUCACCUCUUCCCUCCCUCACUUUGCCACUAGUCAUCUCUUCCCUCCC
Pelobates cultripes (western spadefoot toad) is the source of this 234-nucleotide non-coding RNA. The record is from the annotation of a GenBank genome assembly. Lineage: Eukaryota; Metazoa; Chordata; Amphibia; Anura; Pelobatidae.